UUGAUAAAUCUCCCCCAGAAUUUGUCAGCAUACCUUUCUGACGGGUUGUAGACAUAUACCCCCAUUGUUCUAAUGAAAUGCUAUGAGAAUCCAGCCUGAUACACACCUUGUACAUAUCCAUUUACCCCUACCGAUCCAAUAGGCACUAAUGCACUAUAAAAAAAAGUCAUGCAAGGAUGUAUUUAUGGUAGUUUUUAGCAGGAAAGAGUUUGCACAGAAUAACAACGCUAGGUCUUUAUUACCAGAACAUAUAGCCCUUUAAUUGUGACUUGCGGUACAGAAACCACAGCUGCUCAACCACAAAAUGAAAGAGAACGCAUGACAUCAGCCUGUUUACACUUCCAGAAGACAUGCAAGCCAUUCUGAAACACUAAACCACAUGGCACAUAUGGGAAGAUGAGAGCUUCACAAAACUGACUGAACUGCAAAGAAAUCAUUUGGAUAGCAGUGUAAUCCUAAAGCUUUUAUGUGUAUCAGACAGACCCGAGGCCUUCAACAAUUAUAGAAUUACUUAUCUUUACUGCUUUCUGACUCAGGAACACAAUUGAAUUCUCAUUUCCUGACUACUAUAAAUUUCAGUCAUGGUUACAAUAAACAAAAG
Long non-coding RNA from Hyla sarda, 601 nucleotides. RefSeq lists it as uncharacterized. Lineage: Eukaryota; Metazoa; Chordata; Amphibia; Anura; Hylidae. The record is from RefSeq and is a predicted model, not a curated record. The transcript is spliced from 3 exons.